AACGCACCUUGCGCCCUUUGGUAUUCCGAAGGGCAUGCCUGUUUGAGUGUCAUGAACCUCUCCAGCCCUUUGCUUUGUUAACUCGAGUAAAGGUGCUUUGGGAAGCUGGACGCCUGCGAAUUCUUCGCUCGUCCGAAAUGCAUUAGCACAGAGACCCACGGACUUGGAUCCGUCUUUGAACCGAGCAUGAUAAUUAUCUUUGCUCUCCUCUGGACGGUAUCGCAUCCGCGGGAUCCUCAAGCUUCUAACCGGGGCAACCCAAUUUUUUCAUCUCUGGCCUCAAAUCAGGUAGGGCUACCCGCUGAACUUAA
RNAcentral lists this unclassified non-coding RNA (311 nucleotides) under uncultured fungus. RNAcentral describes it as "partial contains 5.8S ribosomal RNA, internal transcribed spacer 2, and large subunit ribosomal RNA". The stretch from base 1 to 52 matches the Rfam family "5.8S ribosomal RNA", at positions 103 to 154 of the family's 154-position model. The record is from RNAcentral. Lineage: Eukaryota; Fungi.